UGGCUUAGUGGUAAAGCGUUUGUCUGGAAAACAUGGGGGCUAGAGUUCAGCUCUCUU
RNAcentral lists this transfer RNA (57 nucleotides) under Mesocricetus auratus (golden hamster). Lineage: Eukaryota; Metazoa; Chordata; Mammalia; Rodentia; Cricetidae. The record is from Rfam by way of RNAcentral.